This 363-nucleotide ribosomal RNA is filed under the name Heterotricha takkae. RNAcentral describes it as "partial 16S ribosomal RNA". The record is from RNAcentral. Lineage: Eukaryota; Metazoa; Arthropoda; Insecta; Diptera; Diadocidiidae.
GCAAAGGUAGCAUAAUCAUUAGUUUUUUAAUUGAAAACUUGUAUGAAUGAUUGAAUGAGAUAUUAACUGUUUCAUAAAAAUUAUAAUAGAAUUUUACUUUUUAGUUAAAAGGCUAAAAUAUUAUUAUAGGACGAGAAGACCCUAUAGAGUUUUAUAUUAAUUGAUUUAUUAUUUAUUUAGUAGUUUUAAAAUUUUAUUUUAAUUAUUAUUUUGUUGGGGUGACAAUAAAAUUUAUAAAACUUUUAUUAUUUUUUAACAUUAAUAAAUGACUAAUUGAUCCAGUUAUAUUGAUUAAAAAUUUAAAUUACCUUAGGGAUAACAGCGUAAUUUUUUUUUAGAGUUCAUAUCGAUAAAAAAUUUUGC